CCCUAAUACAAUGUCUGUUUUUCUUGUUUUAGAAUCGAACAUCCUAUUUCAUGGAUUCAUCAAAAGGAUGGAAGAGACCACUUGAUAACAGCGAUGGAAGACUGUAUAUUGUGGUAAGGGUGGUGGGUUGUAACAUUUACUUUUCUGUUACAAGGUAUAGUUUAGUAAAGCAAUAUAGCAAUAGUGUUAAGUUGGGUAGAAUUUUUAAUUCACUUUGCCCAAUUUCCUGGAGUUUGUUGUAUAUGUGAACCACGAUACAGUUAGUGUACUGAAUACUUUAUGCCUGUUGCGCAAUAAGGGAGUUUAUUAUAUGGC
Molecule: non-coding RNA, 315 nt
Organism: Paramuricea clavata
Lineage: Eukaryota; Metazoa; Cnidaria; Anthozoa; Malacalcyonacea; Plexauridae
Source: the annotation of a GenBank genome assembly